Molecule: long non-coding RNA, 1726 nt
Organism: Hydractinia symbiolongicarpus
Lineage: Eukaryota; Metazoa; Cnidaria; Hydrozoa; Anthoathecata; Hydractiniidae
Exons: 2
Source: RefSeq, a predicted model, not a curated record
UUGAGACAAAGUAAAGGUAUUCUCUCUUUAAAACCUUUCAUUGAAAUGAAUUCUAAUACAACAUAGGAAAUCUAUUCAUGUUUUGUACAAUGUCAGUUUUUUUACCAUAAUGAGAAAAACAUUCCACAAGAUGAACAUUGACAACAAAUCUCUACCACACAAAUGUAAACUAUGAUGGAUGUGUCAUGUGCAGUUACACAAAACAAGGUAACUCUUCCACCACCACAAUCAUUAAUUAAUUUUCAAAAAGCUUGAAGAAAUCUACAUACAGAUAUAACAUUGUAUGUUACAAACGCUAAGACGUAACAUCCAAAUCAACAUUGUCAACAUUUAAACUGUCAUCAAGAUGCAUGGAAUCUGGUGUUACCUAUACCUUAUACAGUAAUAUGAAGUGUAUGUGACGAUCAUAGUGGAUGUGUACAUUUUCUUUUGAAGUUUGUGAAAUUUUCUUUUAAAUUUUCUUUUAAUUUUAUGUUACACCGCACUGCUGAUGUCAGCAAAACAUCUAAAACAAACUUUGCCUAAGUGGAUUUCUCCACAGGCUUUAUCGACUAGUUGCAUCAUAAUUUUACGAUCUUGAUUACUGUGCUAGGUAAUGCGCAGAGAGAGAUAACUCUUGUUAUUUACCAAUUACAAUGAGUGGUUAAUCAGGCACUGAAGCUUAUCGGUUAUUAAUGGUAAACUGUGCUGGGUGACAGCUGUCAUGUAGAAAAACUUAUUUUGAGGGAAAUAAUUUUAGCAAAUGAUGUAAAAUUAUUAUCAAAUACUUUUGAAAGAGAGGGGUUGUUCUGUGAUGUCUGAGAUGACAAUGAGUACAGCAGCAGGAUUUUUCUCUUUAACAAAUGUUAAUGAUCACUCAUCUUCUUUUAUUUUUCGUGUUUUUUUCAUGUCAGAGGUCAUUGCUGUUUCAAAAUUUUGUUUUUUCUGUUGUUGUUUGGAAACGAAUAGGAAGCCAUGUUGAGUGUUUUAAUAGAUACUUACAUACUUAAACCCUAGCCCUUUAUUGUGAUAGGAAAACAUGGUUUGAAAUGAAUUCUCAGACAUAUAUAUUUCUUGACUUAAAAUAUAUUUUCAGAUUUAAAAUAAAUUUCUUAAAUCUAGAUUUUAGUGACACCUGUGUUACUUGAUAUGUUUAUGGAAUAAAAUAAUAAACAAUAGCUUUUGGUGUUUUGAAAUUUCUUUCUAGUCAUAUAAUCAUUCAUGUGUGUUGGCUUAACGCCAACAAAAUAUCACUGAACUCCAGCAAAACAGAGUUUCUUGUAUUUAGAUCCCAAUCUCGUAGGCUUGAAUUUUUACCUUUUUUGAUUCUAUGCGGUAAGCGCAUUUAUCCUAGCAAAAGUGUGAAAUACCUGGGUGUUCAUGUUGAUGAACAUCUUUCCUGGAAGUAUCAUGUCUCAUCUGUGGCUACUAAACUUCAAAGAGCCAAUGGGAUGUUAUCUAAAAUUCGUCACUGUGUUCCCCUAAAAUCCCUGCUAAACAUUUACCAUGCUAUCUUUAGUUCUCACUUAAGCUAUGCUUGCCAAGUAUUGCCAAGUACUCGAGACACCACAGUAGCCCACAGAAUACUUACCCUCCAAAAGGCUGCCCUUAGGCUGAUCACCUUCAGUGAACCAAGAUCCCCAUCUUUGCCUAUAUUUGCAGAACUUGGAAUUCUUAAAUUCUUCGACCUAGUUAAAGUCCUUAACAUUCAAUUUAUCCACAAAUUCCUAAACUCUAACCUCCCAUC